UGGGGGCAUUGCCAGUCCCUCUCUGCCCUUAGUGAGCUGUGUGACUUUGCACAAGUCGCUCCCCCUCACUGAGCCUUCCCUCCUUCCUCUGUGAUUGGGGGCAAGGGAAGUUAACGGGCAGUGGUUUUGCAAUUAGGUUCUGCUGAGCCCUUAGGCGCCCUUCAGAAGCCCUCGCAGGAGGAGGGUCGGGGGCUCGGUGGGUGGGAUUCCGAGCCCCCCGAGCCCCACCUUAACCAGACCAUCCUGCUUUUCUCUCUUUUAUAAUCAGGGUUCUGCAUAAUAUUUUGAGGGAAGACACAGUUCUGAGGCUCGAAGGAAAACGAAAACCACUUUGCCAACUGAUCUCGGAAGCCUGCCUUCCAGCGCUCACAGCCCAGCAGCCCGGGGAGAUGAUGGACCUCACCCUCCGCUGCCUCAGAGAGAGCAUCUUCCCUGUGGCCUUUCCUGUUCACGUUCCCCUUAGAAAAUCCAGCGGCCUGGCGGUAAGACGGGGCAUGGUUUUCCCUCUUGGCUAAAUAGUUUCAUGUGCCGUCUCCUGGUGUCCGUGAGAUUGAAACGCAGCUCGUCGAGGCCUGGGCAAGACUGUCUUUUCAUUUGCGUUGAUCACAACUGCUGACAAACAGUAUCUUUCCCAUCUUGCCGAUACAUUACGCCUUUCGUGACGGACAUUUGAUCGCAAGAGCCCUUGACGGUAUUUAACUUGAAGGCAUUUAACUUAAAACCAUUAUUAGAUUUUUGUUGAGCUGUCCCUUGACACGCUCCCCGUCCAAAAAUAAGGCCUUCAGGUACCUCUGAGAUAUUUAAGUACACGUCGUCUUCCGAGACCACCCUCACACCAAAGGCAAAUACUUUAAAAGUUGCUUUGUAAUAUUAAAAGAGAAGAGAGAGCGAGAACGCGCGUGAGAGAGAACCGGGCGGGUUUUCCAUGAUUACUAAUUUAGCAGACUCUCUGUUAUGUUUUAUUGAUAGUUCUAAACAUAAAUUUGCCUUUGGUAUACUUUGCUGCUGAUGCCUAAAAUAAGACAUGUAAGAACACAUAAUCCUAUGCCUACGGCUUUGCAGAAUAUUGUACAAAGGCUCUUUGUGGUAACCCAAGCAAGAGAUAUUUAAAUGGCGAAGUGCAGGGCUUAGGCGG
Molecule: long non-coding RNA, 1135 nt
Filed under: Felis catus (domestic cat)
Lineage: Eukaryota; Metazoa; Chordata; Mammalia; Carnivora; Felidae
Description: lncRNA (ENSFCAG00000045947.2)
Source: RNAcentral